GAAUCACGCGUGAGCGGCGUGCCUCAGACAUGCAAGUCGAACGUGAAAGCCCCUUCGGGGGCAAGUAGAGUGGCGCACGGGUGAGUAACACGUAGGUAAUCUACCUUCGGAUGGGGAAUAACAACCGGAAACGGUUGCUAAUACCGCAUAAUGCAGCGGCACCUAAUGGUGACAGUUGUUAAAGCGGGGGAUCGAAAGACCUCGCGUCUGAAGAGGAGCCUGCGGCGGAUUAGCUAGUUGGUGAGGUAAUGGCUCACCGAGGCAACGAUCCGUAACCGGCCUGAGAGGGCGGUCGGUCACACUGACACUGACAUACGGGUCAGACUCCUACGGGAGGCAGCAGUCGGGAAUUUUGGGCAAUGGGCGAAAGCCUGACCCAGCAACGCCGCGUGAAGGAUGAAAUCCCUCGGGAUGUAAACUUCGCAAGAACGGGAAGAAUAAGUCGGUGCUAACACCACCGCCGAUGACGGUACCGUUUGUAAGCUCCGGCUAACUCCGUGCCAGCAGCCGCGGUAAUACGGGGGGAGCAAGCGUUGUUCGGAUUUACUGGGCGUAAAGGGCGCGUAGGCGGCCACCGCAAGUCAAUUGUGAAGUCUCCGGGCUUAACUCGGAAAGGUCAACUGAUACUGCGGGGCUAGAGUGCAGAAGGGGCAACUGGAAUUCUCGGUGUAGCGGUGAAAUGCGUAGAUAUCGAGAGGAACACCUGCGGCGAAGGCGGGUUGCUGGGCUGACACUGACGCUGAUGCGCGAAAGCUAGGGGAGCGAACGGGAUUAGAUACCCCGGUAGUCCUAGCCUUAAACGAUGAAUGCUUGGUGUCUGGGGUUUUAAAGUCCCCGGGUGCCGUCGCUAACGCUUUAAGCAUUCCGCCUGGGGAGUACGGUCGCAAGACUGAAACUCAAAGGAAUUGACGGGGACCCGCACAAGCGGUGGAGCAUGUGGUUUAAUUCGACGCAACGCGAAGAACCUUACCUGGGCUAGAAUGCCCGUGACAGCCCCAGAGAUGGGGUCUCCUGGGUAAAACCAGGCACGGUGCAAGGUGCUGCAUGGCUGUCGUCAGCUCGUGUCGUGAGAUGUUGGGUUAAGUCCCGCAACGAGCGCAACCCUUGUCCUAUGUUGCCAGCGGUUCAAGCCGGGGACUCAUAGGAGACUGCCGGGGUCAACUCGGAGGAAGGUGGGGACGACGUCAAGUCAUCAUGGCCCUUAUGUCCUGGGCUGCAAACAUGCUACAAUGGCCGGUACAGAGGGCUGCAAACCCGCGAGGGGGAGCCAAUCCCAAAAAGCCGGUCUCAGUUCGGAUCGGGGUCUGCAACUCGACCC
RNAcentral lists this ribosomal RNA (1318 nucleotides) under uncultured bacterium. Its description in RNAcentral is "bacterial SSU rRNA". It matches the Rfam family "Bacterial small subunit ribosomal RNA", at positions 26 to 1318 of the family's 1533-position model. The record is from RNAcentral.